Molecule: ribosomal RNA, 253 nt
Filed under: uncultured bacterium
Lineage: Bacteria
Description: partial 16S ribosomal RNA
Rfam family: Bacterial small subunit ribosomal RNA
Source: RNAcentral
UACGUAGGGGGCGAGCGUUAUCCGGAAUUAUUGGGCGUAAAGGGCGCGUAGGCGGGUAUUUAAGUCAGAUGUGAAAACCCAGGGCUCAACCUUGGAUCUGCAUCUGAUACUGGAUAUCUUGAGGACAGGAGAGGAAAGUGGAAUUCCUAGUGUAGCGGUGAAAUGCGUAGAUAUUAGGAGGAACACCAGUGGCGAAGGCGACUUUCUGGACUGUAACUGACGCUGAGGCGCGAAAGCGUGGGGAGCAAACAGG